GAUGAAGAACGCAGCGAAAUGCGAUACGUAAUGUGAAUUGCAAAUUCAGUGAAUCAUCGAGUCUUUGAACGCACAUUGCGCCCCCUGGUAUUCCGGGGGGCAUGCCUGUCCGAGCGUCAUUGCUGCCCUCAAGCACGGCUUGUGUGUUGGGCCCCGUCCUCCGAUCCCGGGGGACGGGCCCGAAAGGCAGCGGCGGCACCGCGUCCGGUCCUCGAGCGUAUGGGGCUUUGUCACCCGCUCUGUAGGCCCGGCCGGCGCUUGCCGAUCAACCCAAAUAUGUAUCCAGGUUGACCUCGGAUCAGGUAGGGAUACCCGCUGAACUUAAGCAUAUCAAUAAGCGGAGGA
RNAcentral lists this unclassified non-coding RNA (345 nucleotides) under soil metagenome. RNAcentral's name for it is "partial contains 5.8S ribosomal RNA, internal transcribed spacer 2, and large subunit ribosomal RNA". The stretch from base 1 to 119 matches the Rfam family "5.8S ribosomal RNA", at positions 35 to 154 of the family's 154-position model. The record is from RNAcentral.